Molecule: transfer RNA, 74 nt
Filed under: Krasilnikovia cinnamomea
Lineage: Bacteria; Bacillati; Actinomycetota; Actinomycetes; Micromonosporales; Micromonosporaceae
Rfam family: tRNA
About the family: Transfer RNA (tRNA) molecules are approximately 80 nucleotides in length. Their secondary structure includes four short double-helical elements and three loops (D, anti-codon, and T loops).
Source: Rfam by way of RNAcentral
GCGGUACUCGCCCAACCGGUAGGGCACCUGCCUUCCAAGCAGGCGUAGACGGGGUUCGAGUCCCCGGUACCGCU